AGUAGUGACUGCUAGUGUACAGUCAGCAGAUGAUAAGAAAAGAUGGGCAACUAGGACUAGUCAAAGUGGAGUUGUUCUACGCAAGGACACACAUCCAUACCGGUUUCCCUGAGAUCAAAGUCUGCUCGAAAUUUUCCGGGGCCUCAACGUCACGUUAGUUAAUUAGUUGGUUAUUAGGGGGACUUUCAUUUUACCAAUUCGAUCAAUAUUCUUCCUUUUCGUUUUCUACCUUGUAGAAUGUUUUGUGCUCAAUCUUUAUGACUCCUUAUGAUGAUGCAUUUAUCUAACAAAUUCCACAGGAAAAUAAACUUAAAGAGAGAAAUCUAGAAAGGUACAUGUUCCCUCGGUGCCCU
Molecule: long non-coding RNA, 353 nt
Filed under: Setaria viridis
Lineage: Eukaryota; Viridiplantae; Streptophyta; Magnoliopsida; Poales; Poaceae
Description: long non-coding RNA (SVIR_LNC010281)
Source: RNAcentral